UGUGAGGAUGUUCUGGUUUGCUGUGGUCUCAUAGAGAUCUCACAGGCUCCAGCUGAAGCCAUUGAACUCUUUCCACUGGAACCUACUGAGCUUAACCUCUCCCACCUGCCAGCCCUGGGCCCAACAGAGACAUUCCUGGAGGUAAAAAAGCAGCCAAGAAGUGGUGAGAGGGGAGAAAACAGAAACCUGCUGAGUUCACCCUGUAGUAACUUUGUGGAUGAGGAUGAGCCCUGCCCACCUUCGCUCCUCACAGCAGUGGUUCAGCCAAGCAGUUGGAGCCCUGACAAUCCAGUGCUCCCAGCCAGUCCUUUCUAGGUGAGGGGGAUGAAUUGCUGAAGGCCCAGCUUCCUGAAGGAGGUUUAGGGUGUUAACCCAGCUCCACUUGGUCUCCUCUGUGAAAUUAUGGCAAAAGUUGCUCCUCAGAUGGCUUUAUAUUUGCAUUUCUAUUAAAUAUUUAUUGUUCCUUUUCUUGCAAGGAACUAUUAUGUGGCAGACAUCCUAUAUAUUUUUAUAUUCCCA
This 519-nucleotide long non-coding RNA is filed under the name Cyanistes caeruleus (blue tit). RNAcentral describes it as "lncRNA (ENSCCEG00000010694.1)". Lineage: Eukaryota; Metazoa; Chordata; Aves; Passeriformes; Paridae. The record is from RNAcentral.